CAGGGCCAGAAAGGAAAGCCAUUCAACUUCUCAAGGCCCAGGGACUAUCACAGAAGAGGUGGGCAUGUAAGAUUGUAAGGGCCGAUUUUAAAAGAUAAAAUAAGUUCAGUUUCUGCAUAAAUUAAUCAUUAAUGUCAAAGACACACUGAUGCAAGACCAGCAUAUGGACCACUGUGUCAGAUUAGCAAGGUUUUCUUGAGGCAUUAACCAACUCCUUAAUAAAGGUGCUGGGAGUCAGCUUGCACAAGUUAAGUCGUUGAGGAAGGGGCUGCCAGUGAAAAAGCCAAGAUGGAGUCUGUCUGGCUUUCUUAGCUAAGGGAGAGUCAAUUCAGGUGGAAACAAGGCUAGGUGAUUAAAGGAAAGGGAGAGUCUAAGAACAGGGUUAGUAAAAAACAAGGUUGGGCAUUACAUUAUAAAAAGAUACAAACAUGCCUGUAUCUGAUUAUGUCUGACCUUGUACAUCUCAUGACAUCCGCAGUCAAUGAACAUGUCUAUUUUAGUCUCUGAAUAGGCCUGGAAAGGAAAGGUAUACACAAAUACUUGAUAAGUGGAAAAAAUAAAUGUUUGCAAUUUGGGUACAUACCAAUACCUUCCUUCUGUUUAUUAAUUGUUUAAGUUUUGCUUUUGUUGUAUGCAACUAAAUCAUGUUUAUGGUAUGCCUGUGUUCUGUUUUUUGCAAUUAUUUGACAUAAAUACACUGGUUUUGUUUUUAUUUUGUUUGUUUUAGUCUACCUUUCCUCAGAUAAUGAGAGCACUAUCUAAACAUGCAAUCUUUCAGGAGACAAAGUUGUGUAUUAUCCUUGUCUGCAGCCUUUGAACUUCAGAGAGAUGGUUACUUUCUGGCAUCUGAUAGCUCUCUCCAUUGUGAUUCUACUGAAAUAAAUCACUUCUGUCUUUAAUCAUGAUUCUGUAUCUGAACCAUUGGAGUCUACAACAAAUAGUAAUUUCCACAUGUGUUGUUUUCAAGGAUUUUCUUUGCUCUGCCCCACUUCAGCAAGUACUUUGUUAUUUAUGGACC
Molecule: long non-coding RNA, 1018 nt
Filed under: Homo sapiens (human)
Lineage: Eukaryota; Metazoa; Chordata; Mammalia; Primates; Hominidae
Description: non-protein coding lnc-MAP3K4-4:1
Source: RNAcentral